RNAcentral lists this long non-coding RNA (365 nucleotides) under Sus scrofa (pig). RNAcentral's name for it is "lncRNA (ENSSSCG00060053161.1)". Lineage: Eukaryota; Metazoa; Chordata; Mammalia; Artiodactyla; Suidae. The record is from RNAcentral.
GGGAAGUUAAUUAUCUCAUCACUGGUCUGGGAGUGGGACCAGGACCUGCUAGUUCAGUGAUGGUUUUCAUCAUACCCUAAAACAACGGCUUUGGCUGAUUGGAUAUUUAAUUUUUUUUCUUUGCAGAAAUGUCCAAUUAUUUGGGCAGAGGGCAGUCAAGCCUAUGCUGAAUUGUAGACACUGCUGUGUUCCUGCACCUGUUUCAGUUAUCAGAGUCUCCUAAAAAGCUUCACAACCUACCACUGUCCACACAGGCUUUCUGGUUCCCAUGUUGCAAGGCUGAAAAUAGAGUCCGAGAGAGAAGAAGUGAGAAUGGGGCCUCUGAAUGGCAGAGAGACCACGGGAGAACAUCUCCUGGAGCCUAG